Molecule: ribosomal RNA, 493 nt
Filed under: uncultured bacterium
Lineage: Bacteria
Description: partial 16S ribosomal RNA
Rfam family: Bacterial small subunit ribosomal RNA
Source: RNAcentral
GACGAACGCUGGCGGCGUGCUUAACACAUGCAAGUCGAACGGUGAAGCGCCUUCCUUUUUGGUGGGUGUGGAUGAGUGGCGAACGGGUGAGUAACACGUGAGUAACCUGCCCCCUUCUUCUGGAUAACCGCAUGAAAGUGUGGCUAAUACGGGAUAUUCUGGGUCUGUCGCAUGAUGGGUCUGGGAAAGAUAUUGUUUCGGUGGGGGAUGGGCUCGCGGCCUAUCAGCUUGUUGGUGGGGUGAUGGCCUACCAAGGCGGUGACGGGUAGCCGGCCUGAGAGGGUGGACGGUCACACUGGGACUGAGACACGGCCCAGACUCCUACGGGAGGCAGCAGUGGGGAAUAUGGCACAAUGGGCGCAAGCCUGAUGCAGCGACGCCGCGUGAGGGAUGGAGGCCUUCGGGUUGGGAACCUCUUUCGCCAGUGAAGCAGGCCUGCCUCGUUUGUGGGUGGGUUGACGGUAGCUGGAUAAGAAGCGCCGGCUAACUACGU